CCAUCAGGUCGACAAGGUAAGGCAUAGCCGACCGCCACCUUCAAUGUUAGGUUUUGGCAUUCCACAAUUAGCUCGCAAUGUUCCCUCUGCGUGAUACCAUCCACGGGGUAGUGAGAAGCCAUGAUAUCAGGUUGAAUGAGCUUAGUGGAAGCCACACUGCUUUUUCGCUGAGAUGGUGGCGUAGCUUCGUGUAUCGAAUGAAGGAGCUACGUGCUGUUAAGAAGCUCGUUCACUUGUAUAUGCCUCUAGUUUCUUCUCCUGCAGCGAUAAUCUUUUUUCCAUCCUCUGCAUCUGGUAUGCUUCCUCUCUCUUCUUUCUCCCUCA
Molecule: long non-coding RNA, 324 nt
Filed under: Hordeum vulgare
Lineage: Eukaryota; Viridiplantae; Streptophyta; Magnoliopsida; Poales; Poaceae
Description: long non-coding RNA (HVUL_LNC013011)
Source: RNAcentral